UGGGGGAUAUUGCGCAAUGGGGGCAACCCUGACGCAGCAACGCCGCGUGAAGGAUGAAGGUUUUCGGAUUGUAAACUUCUUUUAUUAAGGACGAAACUUGACGGUACUUAAUGAAUAAGCUCCGGCUAACUACGUGCCAGCAGCCGCGGUAAUACGUAGGGAGCAAGCGUUGUCCGGAUUUACUGGGUGUAAAGGGUGCGUAGGCGGCUUUGCAAGUCAGAUGUGAAAUCUAUGGGCUCAACCCAUAAACUGCAUUUGAGACUGUAGAGCUUGAGUGAAGUAGAGGCAGGCGGAAUUCCCCGUGUAGCGGUGAAAUGCGUAGAGAUGGGGAGGAACACCAGUGGCGAAGGCGGCCUGCUGGGCUUUAACUGACGCUGAGGCACGAAAGCGUGGGUAGCAAACA
Molecule: ribosomal RNA, 403 nt
Filed under: uncultured prokaryote
Description: bacterial SSU rRNA
Rfam family: Bacterial small subunit ribosomal RNA
Source: RNAcentral